Molecule: ribosomal RNA, 465 nt
Filed under: uncultured bacterium
Lineage: Bacteria
Description: bacterial SSU rRNA
Rfam family: Bacterial small subunit ribosomal RNA
Source: RNAcentral
UGAGUAACGCGUGGGAACAUACCCUUUUCUACGGAAUAGCUCUGGGAAACUGGAAUUAAUACCGUAUACGCCCUACGGGGGAAAGAUUUAUCGGGGAAGGAUUGGCCCGCGUUGGAUUAGCUAGUUGGUGGGGUAAAGGCCUACCAAGGCGACGAUCCAUAGCUGGUCUGAGAGGAUGAUCAGCCACAUUGGGACUGAGACACGGCCCAAACUCCUACGGGAGGCAGCAGUGGGGAAUAUUGGACAAUGGGCGCAAGCCUGAUCCAGCCAUGCCGCGUGAGUGAUGAAGGCCUUAGGGUUGUAAAGCUCUUUCACCGAUGAAGAUAAUGACGGUAGUCGGAGAAGAAGCCCCGGCUAACUUCGUGCCAGCAGCCGCGGUAAUACGAAGGGGGCUAGCGUUGUUCGGAAUUACUGGGCGUAAAGCGCACGUAGGCGGAUAUUUAAGUCAGGGGUGAAAUCCCAGAG